This 1052-nucleotide long non-coding RNA is filed under the name Sus scrofa (pig). RNAcentral describes it as "lncRNA (ENSSSCG00015005829.1)". The record is from RNAcentral. Lineage: Eukaryota; Metazoa; Chordata; Mammalia; Artiodactyla; Suidae.
CCAGCAGCUACAGCUCUGAUUAGACCCCUAGACUGGGAACCUCCAUAUGCCACAGAUAUGGCCCUAGAAAAGACAGAAACAAACAAAAACAAAUCGUGUCUCAGAGUGUCAUUGUGACUAAAAUGGCAUGAAAUUCAGGAACUAGAUUACUUGAUGGCCCAGUGUGGAUGGAAUCUUAUUGCAGACUUGGUCCCUCUAUGCCUUUAGGGCAAUAGGGACAAGGAUCCCUCCAGCCAUCCCUUAACUUCUGCCUUAAGCCAGCCCUUCUGGAGCUUCUGAGGAACACACUUUCUAAGCCACAGUCCUAACUAGGGGCUGGCUUUGGCAGCGGCAGAGAAAAACCUAAGAAUAUAAUUUCUUUUGGUCUUUUUAGGGCCACACCCACAACAUAUGGAAGUUCCCAGGCUAGGGGUUGAAUCGGAGCUGCAGCUGCCAGCCUACACCACAGCCACAGCAAUGUGGGAUCUGAGCCGUCUCUGCCACCUGCCACCUGCACCACAGCUCACGGCAACGCUGGAUCCUUAACACACUGAGGGAAGCCAGGGAUAGAACCUGUACCCUCAUGGAUCCUAGUCGGGUUCAUUACCUCUGAGCCAUGAUGGGACCUCCCAGAGUGUUCUGCAUUGAUGGAAGUUCUGUCCCCAUGCCGAGCAAUAAUAUAGCCAAUUGCCAAAGGUGACUGCAUAUAUAGUCCCUGACACGUAGCUAGUGCAACUGGAGAAUUGAAUUUUUAACUUUUUUUCAGUGAAGUUCACUUUACUUUAAAUGCAGCCAGCCAUUUGGGAGAGCGCAGAUGCCAGUGAGCGGUCCCUCAACCCCUCCUGUCCUGCCUGCAGCUCACAGGCUGCUCAUCUAACCAUCCGACAGUCUUGCAGGGCAGCUGCGGCAUUCGAGUGUGUCUGUCAUGAGCUCAAGAGCCCUUUUAAAAACUGUCUUCUCCAUCAGCCAGCGAGGGCUUGACUUCUGUCUCCUGCCAGGACCCCACUGUUUCCUGAGAAGACCUUGGGUCAGACUGUGCAGAAGUGUGCUCAGGACCCCAGGGCAUCCGAAGG